AAGUCGUAACAAGGUUUCCGUAGGUGAACCUGCGGAAGGAUCAUUAAAGAGUUAGGGUCUUCUAGGCCCGAUCUCCCAACCCUUUGUUUAUUGAACCUCUGUUGCUUCGGCGGUCCCGUCUCACGGCCGCCGGAGGACCGCCGAAAGGNGNCCUCUGGCCAGCGUCCGCCGAUAGCCAACCACUUAAACUCUGAAUAAAUCGUGUCAUAUGUCUAAGUCUAUGAUUAAAUUAAAGCAAAACUUUCAACAACGGAUCUCUUGGUUCUGGCAUCGAUGAAGAACGCAGCGAAAUGCGAUAAGUAAUGCGAAUUGCAGAAUUCCAGUGAGUCAUCGAAUCUUUGAACGCACAUUGCGCCCUUUGGUAUUCCGAAGGGCAUGCCUGUUCGAGCGUCAUUAUCACCCCUCAAGCCCCGUGCUUGGUGNUGGACGGCUUGGUCGCGUCACCGCGACUCCUCCUAAAGACAAUGACGGCGGCCUGUGGUUCCCCCGGUACACUGAGCUUUUAAUUGAGCACGUAUUGGAUAAGGGCACCCGGGACCCGGUCUUCUCCCUUUACCGGGAAAUUUUCAAUGGUUGACCUCGGAUCAGGUAGGAAUACGCGCUGAACUUAAGCAUAUCAAUAAGCGCAGGAAAAGAAACCAACAGGGAUUACCUCAGUAACGGCGAGUGAAGCGGUAAUAGCUCAAAUUUGAAAUCUGGCCUCUUGGGGUCCGAGUUGUAAUUUGUAGAGGAUGUUUUGGGUACCGCCCCGGUUUAAAUUUCUUGGAACAGAAUGUCAAAGAGGGUGAGAAUCCCGUCUUGGACCGGUGGUAGGGCCUGUGUAAAACUCCUUCGACGAGUCGAGUUGUUUGGGAAUGCAGCUCAAAAUGGGUGGUAAAUUUCAUCUAAAGCUAAAUAUUGGCCAGAGACCGAUAGCGCACAAGUAGAGUGAUCGAAAGAUGAAAAGCACUUUGAAAAGAGAGUUAAACAGUAUGUGAAAUUGUUGAAAGGGAAGCGCUUGCAAUCAGACUUGAGCGCGGCGGUUCCCCUGACCUUUUGGUUAGGCUAUUCCGUCGUGUCCAGGCCAACAUCGGUUCUGAGGGUCGGUCAAAGGCCUUGGGAAUGUAUCUACCCACGGGUAGACUUAUAGACCAGGGUGUCAUGCGGCCUCUCGGGACCGAGGAACGCGCUUCGGCUCGGAUGUUGGCGUAAUGGUUGUCAGCGACCCGUCUUGAAACACGGACC
RNAcentral lists this ribosomal RNA (1224 nucleotides) under uncultured fungus. RNAcentral describes it as "eukaryotic LSU rRNA". The stretch from base 575 to 1224 matches the Rfam family "Eukaryotic large subunit ribosomal RNA", at positions 1 to 667 of the family's 3401-position model. The record is from RNAcentral. Lineage: Eukaryota; Fungi.